This 402-nucleotide ribosomal RNA is filed under the name uncultured bacterium. Its description in RNAcentral is "partial 16S ribosomal RNA". It matches the Rfam family "Archaeal small subunit ribosomal RNA", at positions 473 to 873 of the family's 1478-position model. The record is from RNAcentral.
ACACCGGCAGCUCAAGUGGUAGCCGCUUUUAUUGGGUCUAAAGCGUCCGUAGCCGGUCUGAUAAGUCUCUGGUGAAAUCCCACAGCUUAACUGUGGGAAUUGCUGGAGAUACUAUCAUGACUCGAGGUCGGGAGAGGCUGGAGGUACUCCCAGGGUAGGGGUGAGAUCCUGUAAUCCUGGGAGGACCACCUGUGGCGAAGGCGUCCGGCUGGAACGAACCUGACGGUGAGGGACGAAAGCCAGGGGCGCGAACCGGAUUAGAUACCCAGGUAGUCCUGGCCGUAAACGAUGUGGACUUGGUGUUGGGAUGGCUUCGAGCUGCCCCAGUGCCGAAGGGAAGCUGUUAAGUCCACCGCCUGGGAAGUACGGCCGCAAGGCUGAAACUUAAAGGAAUUGGCGGGG